AUAUAAAUGGUAAGAGCAACAGCAGGUGAAUAUUAACUUUAAAUCUACAUCUAUGAGAAACAACUAGAGAUAUAAAGACAAAAGGCUGAUGGAAAAUUCGUAAGGUCAUCAUCUUACUGAUAUGAUAAUUCUUUUGUUCCAUUGCUAAGCUUGUUUCUGCACCAUAUGGAAGAUCUUCAAGGAAACUGGAGCUCCAAAAACUUCAUAUAUUCUUCAAAAAAAAAAAAAAAAAAAAAA
Molecule: long non-coding RNA, 237 nt
Filed under: Jatropha curcas
Lineage: Eukaryota; Viridiplantae; Streptophyta; Magnoliopsida; Malpighiales; Euphorbiaceae
Description: long non-coding RNA (JCUR_LNC003483)
Source: RNAcentral